GACGAACGCUGGCGGCGUGCCUAAUACAUGCAAGUAGAACGCUGAAGGAGGAGCUUGCUCUUCUGGAUGAGUUGCGAACGGGUGAGUAACGCGUAGGUAACCUGCCUGGUAGCGGGGGAUAACUAUUGGAAACGAUAGCUAAUACCGCAUAACAGUAGAUGUUGCAUGACAGUUGCUUAAAAGGUGCAAUUGCACCACUACCAGAUGGACCUGCGUUGUAUUAGCUAGUUGGUGGGGUAACGGCUCACCAAGGCGACGAUACAUAGCCGACCUGAGAGGGUGAUCGGCCACACUGGGACUGAGACACGGCCCAGACUCCUACGGGAGGCAGCAGUAGGGAAUCUUCGGCAAUGGACGGAAGUCUGACCGAGCAACGCUGCGUGAGUGAAGAAGGGUUUCGGAUCGUAAAGCUCUGUUGUAAGAGAAGAACGAGUGUGAGAGUGGAAAGUUCACACUGUGACGGUAUCUUACCAGAAAGGGACGGCUAACUACGUG
RNAcentral lists this ribosomal RNA (495 nucleotides) under uncultured bacterium. Its description in RNAcentral is "partial 16S ribosomal RNA". It matches the Rfam family "Bacterial small subunit ribosomal RNA", at positions 28 to 507 of the family's 1533-position model. The record is from RNAcentral.